This 999-nucleotide long non-coding RNA is filed under the name Setaria viridis. Its description in RNAcentral is "long non-coding RNA (SVIR_LNC005130)". The record is from RNAcentral. Lineage: Eukaryota; Viridiplantae; Streptophyta; Magnoliopsida; Poales; Poaceae.
UAACACGACAGCGACGAGGGAAGCUUCUUCCUUAGCGACUAACCAAUAGCCAAAUCCUCCUUUAAAAUCUGAUGCUCGGCCGGGUCCAUUUCGCUGGCUAGCUUUCCUUCAGCUCCCGUCCCGACCCCCCUGGCUACAGCCCGUCCCGUCGAGCCACAGCGACGAACAAAUGGCCCGCGCCGGCGCAGCCGUCGUCCUCGCCCUCGCCGUCUGCUGCCUCCUGGUGGCCCCCGCCCCGGCGCGCCGCCCCGCCGACCGCGAGGCGGCCGCCGAGCCGCUGCGGCCCAAGCCGGCGGUGGCCGCGGACUGCGCCGAUGCGGCCGAAGCUGAACAGGGGUCCGCGCUCGCCGUGCCCGAGCAGGAGGACCCCGCCCGCGACGAGGAGCCCCGGCGGCGGUCCUCCUCCCUGCUCUGCCUCGUCUUUCGGUGCGGCGGCGAGCCGGCGGGCCUGAACGGCGCGUUGGUGGCCCGGGGCAGCUCCGAGGAGCCGCAGGUGCUGGACGAUGGGACCUGGCGGGCGGUGGAGGGGAAGGCGGAGGCGGAGGACGAGGACGAGCGGCCGUACGAGACGGACUGGGACUCUGACUGCGACUCCGACGACGAGGGCGAAGAAGACGGCGUCUUGGGGUGGCUCUGGAGGCUGGCUGAUCGCUUCUGGUUUCUCAUCGAUCCCAGCCAGCCAUGAGCCAUGGCCGCCGAUAGACGUGCUCCGGCAGCUUGAUCCUUGUCUGGCGCGUGUACUGUAUAACCUAUUACGAGCAGAUCAUAGCAGCAAACACCACUCUUUGUACAAAAGGUUAUAUUGAUGGAAUAAAUACUACACCUGUGUUUUUGUAAUUGUAUGGAUGGAUCAAACAAAGUUUCAAACCGUUGCUGUCACAUGAUUAAAUUCAACAGAAAGAGGUUUAACCGUGUAAGAACGAACCUGGUAGAAAUUGUUAGCACGAAAAGAUUUGUAGCUUAUUCAAGCCUACUAACGUACAGGGUCAUACAACAUGC